AUUGAACGCUGGCGGAAUGCUUAACACAUGCAAGUCGAGCGGGCUGUAGCAAUACAGCUAGCGGCGGACGGGUGAGAAAUACAUAGGAAUCUGCCUCAGAGUGGGGGAUAGGCCCGGGGAAACCCGGAUUAAUACCGCAUGAUGUCGUAAGACCAAAGCAGGGGACCGUAAGGCCUUGCGCUUUGAGAUGAGCCUAUGUCGGAUUAGCUAGUUGGCGGGUAAAGCCCACCAAGGCGACGAUCCGUAGCUGGUCUGAGAGGACGAUCAGCCACACCGGAACUGAGACACGGUCCGGACUCCGUACGGGAGGCAGCAGGUGGGGAAUAUUGGACAAUGGGCGCAAGCCUGAUCCAGCAAUUCCGCGUGUGUGAAGAAGGCCUGGUU
This 384-nucleotide ribosomal RNA is filed under the name uncultured bacterium. RNAcentral's name for it is "bacterial SSU rRNA". It matches the Rfam family "Bacterial small subunit ribosomal RNA", at positions 30 to 424 of the family's 1533-position model. The record is from RNAcentral.